CCGACGUGAUGUCUCCAUUCCCUCCUUCAGGGAACGAGGGUUGCACAUGUAACCGAGACAUUUCAACCCUUUUCCUGAAUC
This is a long non-coding RNA of Sinocyclocheilus grahami, 81 nucleotides long. RefSeq lists it as uncharacterized. The record is from RefSeq and is a predicted model, not a curated record. The transcript has 3 exons. Lineage: Eukaryota; Metazoa; Chordata; Actinopteri; Cypriniformes; Cyprinidae.